CCUACGGGAGGCAGCAGUAGGGAAUACUGGACAAUGGGCGAAAGCCUGAUCCAGCCAUGCCGCGUGAUGGAUGAAGGCCCUCUGGGUUGUAAACAUCUUUUAUCAGGGAAGAAACACCUCGUUUCUACGAGGCUUGACGGUACCUGAUGAAUAAGCACCGGCUAACUCCGUGCCAGCAGCCGCGGUAAUACGGAGGUGCAAGCGUUAUCCGGAUUUACNGGGUUUAAAGGUGCGUAGGCGGGAAAAUAAGUCAGUGGUGAAAGCACCGGGCUCAACUCGGUAACUGCCAUUGAUACUGUUUUCUUGAAUGCGAUUGAGGUAAGCGGAAUGUUGCAUGUAGCGGUGAAAUGCUUAGAUAUGUUACAGAACACCAAUUGUGAAGACAGCUUACUAAAUCGUGAUUGACGCUGAGGCACGAAAGCUGGGGAGCAAACAGGAUUAGACUACCCUGGUAGUCCACGACCGUAACCGACUAGUAUUACUACGUAC
Molecule: ribosomal RNA, 489 nt
Filed under: uncultured bacterium
Lineage: Bacteria
Description: bacterial SSU rRNA
Rfam family: Bacterial small subunit ribosomal RNA
Source: RNAcentral